This 2957-nucleotide long non-coding RNA is filed under the name Daphnia magna. RNAcentral describes it as "uncharacterized LOC116930935, transcript variant X1". The record is from RNAcentral. Lineage: Eukaryota; Metazoa; Arthropoda; Branchiopoda; Diplostraca; Daphniidae.
UUUCACUUGGGAGUCCCUUAAAUCCAAUUUACGUUUAUCUACUCUCUCAUUGUUCGGGUAUAAAACAUUUGGCAAACAUGAACUGAAAAUAGGGAACAGAAGAAGAGGCAUGUCAGCCAUUGUGGAUUAUUUUAGUCUCCCCCCUCUGAAUAAACGAUGGAGUAACUAAGGUCAACUUUCUGAAUGAAAACCUUUUUCAAGGACCAAAACUGUCUGAUUUCGAUCGUCCCAAAGAAACUUUCCAACAAAAUCGAACAAAAUUAAAAAUAAACACGAAACGAGAUAUCUAAAUGGCAGCAACGACACACCCAAAAAGAGACGAAAAACUGUAUGUAACUACAGCAAAAUGGAAUUGAAACCUAGCCAGUCAGAAAAGAGAGGAGGGCAAGUUCUUCCAUACCACAGAACGUCAACAGCUGCACGAAAGCAAAAAGCAGCUCACGGAAAUAAGAGAUUGUCAAAAAAAGAAGCUGAAACGAAUAUCCAGAAAUAUCGGGACAACAGCCAUUUGUAAACAGAAAAACGACCGUGGGCCAGUGGCCAGAACAUAGAAGAAAAAAGGAAGGAAAGUCAGCAUUUGGUUUAUAAUAUCGUAAGGAUCUUCUUAGAUCAAUAUGCGUAAAAGGGCGUGCCCGGCUGGCCUUCUCUUCUCGCUCUGUCAAACCAAAUCAAUCGGACAAAAAGUACUCACCCAAACAUCGUGAUAAUAUUCUGUCAGUUGGCCAGAAUUUCCUUCUUGGUCAGAGAUGAAUAGAUUCAACUGAAAGGAGGAAAAAUCUUUCGGCGAAUGGAAUCAAGAUUUCUUAUUGACCAAGAGAUUCAGCAAAACUCCGCCUGUGUCAACCACUAGCUAUCUAUCUCGCUUCGUAUGUUCCACUUACAUGAAAAGAAAACGGUUACGAAGGGACCCGAUUCCACGAAUUCCGGCCACGUUCCGCCACUCAUGAAGGCUGAGUGGAGUUGAAUCCUCCUACAAAACAACAAACGGCUUCCCUUCUUAGUUGGCAGUUUGUUCGACAAACAAGAGCCGCUGUCUUGGUUCUCUUCCCUGUUCUGUGUGUGUCAACAGGAAUCUGAGUCCAGGCCGGAGGCACAGUGGCCAGGGAUUCUUAUCCGUUCGCCACACACAGUGGUCAUAAUCCAUGUAGCUAGUUGCUGUGCCUCGCGUUCAACUCGGAUUUCGGAAGUUGUAUUUAAAAAAGAGAGAGAUCUAAUCAGGCGAUCGAUAAUUCCCAACUUUCAUCAUCCGCUAAAGGCGGAAUUCCAUGAAACUGAUACCUCCCACAAAUGUUUGAAACAGAUUUGAUUCUCAACCUUGAGGCGACGGCGCUUUAUGGAUCCAAGGCUACAUCAGAAAGACCUCAUUAUGGAGUUUGCAUCAUACGCUCAUCUAAGGAAGACUCUGCCUCAUCAUCUCCGUGUGACCGAGAGAAUCGUCGACGCUGUGAAUGACAAUGAGAUCCGUAGUGGGACUACUAUUCUCAAGUACAUGUUGAAAAACAUUUUCAAGGAGAUUGCAGCUGAAUAUCAAGAUCUGCAACUCAAAUUGUCGUCAACUUGGAAGGUGAAAAGGUGUUGAGCGUAUCACUCCAUAUUUUAACGAGAUGAAAUUCCAAUGAUAUAUGAUGGUUGCCAAGCAAAUCAUAAACGACUACAACAUCGAUCGAUCUCUUUUUCAACGUCCUUGCUCUUCGUGGACAAUAAAAUGGGACGUCUGGAAAAUCGUCAUAUUUGUGGAGCUGGGGAUCGAAUCGAUCCAAGUGUCAAGUCAAUGCCUUCGUCAAAAACCUCAGAAAAACAAAGCCAAAAUAAAUGAAGGUUUCAGGCGAUUGUGUUCCUUAAGAAACACGCAGAACAAUAGACGAUAUAGCUUCCCAGUGGCUCAUCCGUCGACGAAAGGAUUGCCAAUCGCUGCAGAUGACUUUUCACACAAGAUUUUCUAUAGUUCUUUCAUAUACUGGACGAUUGCGAUUGAUUACAAUUUUUCAUCAAAACGGAAACAACUGAAGCGAAAAGAAGACACUCUCCACCGUCGCUAUGAGACUCGUUAAUAAACAGUGCGUGAAGCCAAAAAGUUGAGUGGUUUUAUCGAACGGAUGACGGGUUUUCGACUCGUUAUGAUAAUCAUAAAAGCGGAACCAAGAAGAAACUGACGAAACUGCUCUCUUCUAUAUUGUUUAUGUCACUCUCCGUCCCUCUGCCCCCCUUAUAAGAUGUCGCGAAGGACUCGGACGUCGUUUAUGUAAUAGGGAUACUCUUACCGCCAAAAAGAAGUCGUCGUUAGAAACGUAAUUCUAGCCAGCGGCGUGAAUUUCACUAGUGCGGUACGUACGGCUGUAUUCACGCACUGAUUUUGCGCAGAAUGGUCGCCCUCUCUAAACAAUUGAGAAACGCUAAGCUUCGGCUUUAUGUCUCAUUGUACAGUCAUGGACAAUAAGCGCAGGCCAAAAAAAAAAUACAUCUCUGCGAUGCGGUAGUGUCCUUUUCACGCUCCCUUUCGACUCUCUCUGUCCCCAGUUUCUUUCCCCUAUACGUACGCUGGCCGUUCAGCAGCAGUUGAGAGUCUCUUCCCCGAGCGCAAAGGAAACGAUCAAUACGAGGUGGUUGUCUCCCCAGUACAGAGAAAGAGAGAAAGCAAAUUAUUCUAUGCGUGCAUGAAAAAAGAAAAAAAAAGAGUCCAAAGUUAACUGAUGGAAAAUAAAGGGAAAAGUUUAAUAUUUUGUACGAUAUUAAGCUUUUUCUUUUCCAUAGUUUUCUGUUGUUGAAAAAGUCCCUUCUCUAAAUUGAUAAUAAUCCCUAGACGGCAAAGGUUGCAUUUUGUGUUUAAAGCUGUUGACAUUUAUGUCUCUUCAGCUUUGUUGUUGCUGAUUCUUUUACGUAUCCUGAAUGCGACUGCGUUGCAGUCUACAACGUAUUUUUUGAAAGGAUAAGAGUUGGCUAGCUCUAUCACGACUUCC